Coffea eugenioides is the source of this 1878-nucleotide long non-coding RNA. RefSeq lists it as uncharacterized. NCBI's taxonomy places the organism in Eukaryota, Viridiplantae, Streptophyta, Magnoliopsida, Gentianales, Rubiaceae. The transcript is spliced from 4 exons. The record is from RefSeq and is a predicted model, not a curated record.
GAGCUGCCAGAUCUGGAUCUGUUUGGAUCGAGUUUGCAGCGAUUGACCAUCUCAUUUUGCCCAAGAUUAAUUAGUCUGGGAGUAAAUGGACUGAAAUGCCCCCUACCAUGCCUUGAGGAAUUGAGAAUUGAUGAUUGCGAAGAGUUGACCACUAUAUCCGACAACAUGUUCCAGUCAUGCCGGUCUCUGCGGUCCCUGGAGGUGAUGAGGUGCCCCAAUCUAGUGUCAUUUUCGCUUAAUUUGCAGGAGACGCCUUCUCUCGAGGAAUUCAGCUUAUCCGGAUGUCCCAAAUUGAUCCCUCAUAGGUUCAAAGGAUUUUCUUUUGCCACCGGCUUAAGAACAUUGAGGAUCGGUCCCGUCUCCUUAAUGGAUGAUUUUCAUUGGUCUGGCUUAAUAUCUGCUUCAACACUCCGUAGCCUUCAAUUAGAAGUGUUGCCUCACAUGGAGUCCCUGCCACACCAGCUUCAAUACUUGACUACCCUCACUUCACUAAGUCUUCACAACUUUGGAGGAAUAAGAGUGCUACCGGAUUGGAUUGGAAACCUUGUGUCCCUUGAAACCCUAGAGCUAUGGGAUUGCGACAAGCUUCAGUCUUUACCACCCGAGGCUGCCAUGAGACGACUCACAAAGUUAACUCGUGUCAAAGUUUAUGGGUGUCCUCUGUUAAGACAACGAUACACUCCCCAAAGAGGCAUCUACUUGGAGGAGUAGAUUUCAAGUUAUUUUACAAGCAGUGACAGCAAACAAGAAGGCAAUAAUGGUGCCCAAACAUCAGUUUCAUGUUGUUUCCCAUCCUUGCUGAAGAAGGAGAAACCAGGAGAGUCUUAGAAAGCAGAAUCAUGUUGCUGGGACAAAGACACCACCCUUUGCUGUUGCAUUUCUUACAAGAUUGCCAGGGGGCAGAAGUUAUUUUCACUGACUAGACAGGUUUGAAGAUGAAGUUAGUAAUCAAUGAUGAGAAUUUUGCACAUCAGAGAGCGCUAGCUUUGAUGGAGGCUUCACCAGUAGGUGGUUCUCCCCAGGUUUCCCAAACACAAGCUUUUACUCAUCUCCUGCUCGGGCUGCAGAAAGAAAGUGAGCUGGAUUACUGUAUUGUAACCUUACAGAUGAAAAAUGCAAGGAAUGAUGGCGCUCAAACAUCAGCUUCAUGUUGUUCUCCAUUGCUGCUGAAGAAGAAGAGCUCAGGAGGUAUGUGGUGCACAAAAGUGAUAAUGCAGCACUUCUCUCCCCAAGAACUCUAAGUUUGCAUUCUAAUAUGCUUGAGUCAUGUAAUUGGCAUGAAAACAGGGUGUUUUUCUGCACUGUUAUUUGUUGUUGAAUGUUUACCCUAUGCCACAUAGCUUAUCUUUUGCUCUUUAAGAUUUUUAUGUUUACUUGGUGCUCAACAUGUGCUAUGAUUGUGAAAGAAUCUGGUUUAUUCCAUUUUCUUGUACUAGUUACCAGGCCAUACCGUUUCUUUGCUUUCCUUGUUGGUCAUGAUUGAAGCUGUACUAAAUGUAACGUAUGAUGUUUAUUCCGGAGUCUUAGGAAGCAGACCUCAUGUUAGUGGACAAAAGACACCACCGUUUGCCGUUGCAUUUCUUACUAGAAUGCCAAGGGACAGAAGUUAUUUUCAUUCACGAGACGGGGUUUGAAGAUGAAGGCAGUAGUUAUCAAUGAUGUUAAUUUAGCUCAUUAGAUAGCAUUAGCUUUGAUGGAUGUUUCACAAAUAGUUGGUUCUCCCCAGGUUUCUCAAACAUAAGUUUUUCGGUUUCUCCUGGUCAAAAUGCAGAAAGGAAGGCAAUGAUUUAGCUUGUAUGUCUUCAGGGCAGUUUUUAUAGUUUCUGAUCUACUUUCUUGAUAUGUAUUUAGUAAAUCUAUUACCAAAACUUUUUUUCU